This 1548-nucleotide ribosomal RNA is filed under the name Salmonella enterica. RNAcentral's name for it is "bacterial SSU rRNA". It matches the Rfam family "Bacterial small subunit ribosomal RNA". Lineage: Bacteria; Pseudomonadati; Pseudomonadota; Gammaproteobacteria; Enterobacterales; Enterobacteriaceae. The record is from RNAcentral. RNAcentral also lists the same sequence under 3 other names.
UGAAGAGUUUGAUCAUGGCUCAGAUUGAACGCUGGCGGCAGGCCUAACACAUGCAAGUCGAACGGUAACAGGAAGCAGCUUGCUGCUUUGCUGACGAGUGGCGGACGGGUGAGUAAUGUCUGGGAAACUGCCUGAUGGAGGGGGAUAACUACUGGAAACGGUGGCUAAUACCGCAUAACGUCGCAAGACCAAAGAGGGGGACCUUCGGGCCUCUUGCCAUCAGAUGUGCCCAGAUGGGAUUAGCUUGUUGGUGAGGUAACGGCUCACCAAGGCGACGAUCCCUAGCUGGUCUGAGAGGAUGACCAGCCACACUGGAACUGAGACACGGUCCAGACUCCUACGGGAGGCAGCAGUGGGGAAUAUUGCACAAUGGGCGCAAGCCUGAUGCAGCCAUGCCGCGUGUAUGAAGAAGGCCUUCGGGUUGUAAAGUACUUUCAGCGGGGAGGAAGGUGUUGUGGUUAAUAACCGCAGCAAUUGACGUUACCCGCAGAAGAAGCACCGGCUAACUCCGUGCCAGCAGCCGCGGUAAUACGGAGGGUGCAAGCGUUAAUCGGAAUUACUGGGCGUAAAGCGCACGCAGGCGGUCUGUCAAGUCGGAUGUGAAAUCCCCGGGCUCAACCUGGGAACUGCAUUCGAAACUGGCAGGCUUGAGUCUUGUAGAGGGGGGUAGAAUUCCAGGUGUAGCGGUGAAAUGCGUAGAGAUCUGGAGGAAUACCGGUGGCGAAGGCGGCCCCCUGGACAAAGACUGACGCUCAGGUGCGAAAGCGUGGGGAGCAAACAGGAUUAGAUACCCUGGUAGUCCACGCCGUAAACGAUGUCUACUUGGAGGUUGUGCCCUUGAGGCGUGGCUUCCGGAGCUAACGCGUUAAGUAGACCGCCUGGGGAGUACGGCCGCAAGGUUAAAACUCAAAUGAAUUGACGGGGGCCCGCACAAGCGGUGGAGCAUGUGGUUUAAUUCGAUGCAACGCGAAGAACCUUACCUGGUCUUGACAUCCACAGAACUUUCCAGAGAUGGAUUGGUGCCUUCGGGAACUGUGAGACAGGUGCUGCAUGGCUGUCGUCAGCUCGUGUUGUGAAAUGUUGGGUUAAGUCCCGCAACGAGCGCAACCCUUAUCCUUUGUUGCCAGCGGUCCGGCCGGGAACUCAAAGGAGACUGCCAGUGAUAAACUGGAGGAAGGUGGGGAUGACGUCAAGUCAUCAUGGCCCUUACGACCAGGGCUACACACGUGCUACAAUGGCGCAUACAAAGAGAAGCGACCUCGCGAGAGCAAGCGGACCUCAUAAAGUGCGUCGUAGUCCGGAUUGGAGUCUGCAACUCGACUCCAUGAAGUCGGAAUCGCUAGUAAUCGUGGAUCAGAAUGCCACGGUGAAUACGUUCCCGGGCCUUGUACACACCGCCCGUCACACCAUGGGAGUGGGUUGCAAAAGAAGUAGGUAGCUUAACCUUCGGGAGGGCGCUUACCACUUUGUGAUUCAUGACUGGGGUGAAGUCGUAACAAGGUAACCGUAGGGGAACCUGCGGUUGGAUCACCUCCUUACCUUAAAGAA